GAGAGCAGAGUGUUCGAGGCUGAACCUGGCGGCUCCAGCCUUGCUGCAGAGGGUCCAGGGCCGGGGCAUCUGCCGAAGGUAGGACAGGCACGCCGCCCCUCACAGAGCCGCUGACGUGUUUCCUGAGUGCUUGCUUGCGCGUGGCCUGUGCAGCGUGCUGGGACACAGGCUCUCAAGCCCAAGGGGAAGGCAGGAGACAGUGUCACCUGGGGACGGAUAAAGUGUCAUGGCAGUGGUGCGGUGCCACCACGGGGACACACGAGGACCUGACCCUGCGGUUCCAUCUGUUCCUGGCUGACUUAAUGAAGACCUUCCUUUUCAGUCUGGGUUUAUCUGAAGAAGGAAAUGGGGAAAACGAGCCGACUUUAAAUAGUUGCUGUGUGGUCACUUCACUGUAUGUAGCUCCAAUCCUUGUGGCCCUCGUGACCAGCCUUAACAGCAAACAGCCAGGUGGACCAGUGCUGGCGGUCAGGGAGGUGGAGGGCCAGAUGACCCUGAUGCCAGGUCCAGUUUUCUAAAGGUCAAGGAUCCUGAUAAACAGGGUCCUUGGAGGAAUGGCUGGUUCUAGAGUUGGGUCAGGAAGGUGCAAGGUGACCAAAGUUUGGCCAUGUCAUAGGACACAGGGGCCUCCAAGCCUGUGACACAGCCUGUAGCCCAAAGAAUCAAAUAAACAUAUCCCUUCUACAUAAAUCAUUGAAGACACAAAUAACAUGCAGAUGAUCUAACACCGCGCACAGAGCGCCCCCCACACUGCCUCCGUGGCCCAAGGGCCAGACUCGGAGCCUGGCUCCAGUUCAUGGUGGGGCCCCGGCAGGUGCAGCCUCACCCAGGAGCGGAGGUUUGCCCUGCUGGCCAGCUGAGGUCUCGGCACACCCAGCACCCCUAAUGAAGUCCUGGGAAAAACCAGGCACCCUGAGGCUGGGGACAAAUAAAGCUGCUGGCAUUGAGCUGAGAGGCUUAGCUAGUGCAUCCUUAGCUCCUGGAGGAGAAAGGACCUUCAUGGAAACUGGUGAAGUCCCCAGGAAGCCCGAGUGUAGUUCAUGGAGAUGAACCAUGGCAGUUUGUUAUUCCGACCCACAACAGGGCCCUUAGGCAGGGGAACUGGGGAUGGGGUACGCGAGAACUCUACUGUCUCUGAAGCUCUUCUGUAAGUCCAAAGUUAUUUCCAAAUAAAAAGUGAACUUAAAAAAC
Molecule: non-coding RNA, 1191 nt
Organism: Marmota flaviventris (yellow-bellied marmot)
Lineage: Eukaryota; Metazoa; Chordata; Mammalia; Rodentia; Sciuridae
Source: RefSeq, a predicted model, not a curated record